Salvia miltiorrhiza (redroot sage) is the source of this 486-nucleotide long non-coding RNA. RefSeq lists it as uncharacterized. NCBI's taxonomy places the organism in Eukaryota, Viridiplantae, Streptophyta, Magnoliopsida, Lamiales, Lamiaceae. The record is from RefSeq and is a predicted model, not a curated record. The transcript has 3 exons.
UAGCUAGUUCAACCCUAAUCGCAGCCCAAAUCAGGUAAAACUAAAACCUAGUACUUAAGAAUAUCGUACCUUCUCCACCUCCUGCGCACUCAUUCUUCUCUCAUUCCAGCCAUAUUUUCCUCUACUCGUCAUCUGCAAGAGUUGAAGGAAAAGUUGCCCGAGGAAUUGAUGGAUGAUACUGUUGCUAAUGAUGCAAUUUUUGAAAAAGUUAUUUUGAGAACACCAAUGAAGUCAAUGGAAGUUUUGAGAUGAUGGACCAACAAGAGGAAGGAAAAAAAUACAAGAAGGACCAGCAAGAGGAAGUCAAAAUGUUCGUGAUUGUCACAUUGUCACCAUGGAAUUUUCAUUCUUGCAUAGGAACAUAGCUUUAGACAUUUUUGUUUUUAAUCCAUAUUCUUGAAUAAUUUGCUAGUAUGGUGAAUUAUGUUUUGAUAUUCUCUCUUUUCAUAUUUAGAAAUUAAUAGUUAUUAUGAGUUGAACUUUUUA